Betta splendens (Siamese fighting fish) is the source of this 3052-nucleotide long non-coding RNA. RefSeq lists it as uncharacterized. The record is from RefSeq and is a predicted model, not a curated record. NCBI's taxonomy places the organism in Eukaryota, Metazoa, Chordata, Actinopteri, Anabantiformes, Osphronemidae. The transcript has 2 exons.
AGUAAAGGUGCGUUGAAGAGAAGUUUCCUUCAUUUGCAUCUGACACACUUCACUACUCCGCUAUUCAGACAGUACAAUCAUUUUAAUAACUGUCUGUCUUCCUCGGCCCCUCCUCUCGUCACCCUCGACUUCUGUUUCUACUGACAAGAACGCUGAUGUAUCUGCAGACUGAUUUGCAGCACUUUCACCACUUCUAUUUCCAACCCCGCUAUUCGAAAAGAUCCUGUUUGUGCAAGUUCUGACGACGAGCCUAUUUAAGACUUUACUUCAAGACUACUUUAGUUUUUGUGGAAUGUUUUGUAUUGAAAUAAAAGUACAACUUAAUGAAUCUAAAAUGCCGCAGACGCCAAUAAAUAAUUGUACUUAAAGGUGAACAGGUGAAAUAAAAAAUAAAAAUAAAAUUAAGUCGCGUUCUCGCAGUUGUGAACAAAGUGACAACUCGCCGUUUUACAUCACACAAACACCACUAAUAUGAAUUCAUCGCCUCCGUUAAGAGCAUUCUCCCUAUAAUUAAAAAAAAGGCCCGCGCACGUUUUGAGCACAGGUUCAACGUCUAUCAGGAACUUUUGGGGUUUUGCAACGCGUGACAAACGAGAAAGCACUUUAUUUCCUCAACAGUUUGACGGAGAACCGAGUUGGGUUUUUUGCUCUGGGCGUUGAUGAACAACUUUUCCACCUCGGUGUCAGCAGUGUGAAAACUUUCAUCAGUCCUGCCUACAUUUGUGCGUGUCUUUUUGCCCCUUCCCUCCACGCAGGCGUUUACUAUGAGCCCGUGGUCCGACGAGGCGAAUACAAAGCUUAACGGAUCCCGCUGUCCGCGGGCCUCGCAGACCUCUCUUAUCUCAGGAGAGGCUGCGUGCGCUGGAUUGCUGAGUCACCUUUCGUGGGAGGCUGGCCCUUAUCUCCCGAGAUGCACAACAUUCAGGCAGUUGGUUGCAAAAGGAGGAACUUUAGGCAGGAGCGCUGCGGCCUGCUGUGUCUUCACGGCAAUAGUAUGGAUUGCAACAACGCUCGCUGACUUCCCCAAAGCCUCGCGCCGCCUCAUCCGUAAGGUCAGGCCUGUGCUGUUUCAGACACGUGAAGGUCCGAAGGAGCCGCCGGAGAGCCGGGUCCUGAGGCCACACGCAGGGAAUGCUGGGAGCGGAGUGUUGCUCAUCACUAUCAGCGAGCACAGAGGUGUCUGAUCGUGACGGGGGUCUCCCAGGACCCAAAGAUACUGUCCUGUUCAAUGACACAGCAGCUUUCAGGGGCCUCAAACUACUAAAGAGAACGAAGGGAUGUCAAGUCAGUCACGAUUUUAGAGAAGUUCACACGGAGGAUAUUCAAUAUUCAAAAUUCAUGUAUAGCUGAGGUGGUUACAUGAUAGUUACUCUAAUGUGUGACUUCUGCAAAACGUGUAAAUUAUUAUUGAUCAUGUGAAAAAGCAGAUUGAAGCAUUUCAGAUCAUGUUAUAUUUGCAGGCUUUCAACCGUCCACGCGUCUGUGAGUCAAGUCCAACUUAACCCUCUGCUGCUUCAGGUUGAUCCACAACCCGAAUCGAGCCAUGUUGCUGUAAUUAAAAUUAUUACCUGGUAGGUCUCAAAACAUCAUCAGGCAGCGCAGCCGUCCGCCGCUGAACAAUGGGCCCCGGCUGGUUCUUAUUUCAUGGAUCUUUAAGCAGUAUUCACUGUUUCACAUUUGGAAGCAUGAGCAGCAUGUAACCCUUAAUUGGUUUCAACACCUUAAUAAGUCAAAGACGUUCAAGACUGAUAAUCACAUUAAAUAGUCCAAUUUAUCUAAAAAGUCAAUUGCAAACUGAAAAACUCUCUUUCUUUAGGAAUGCAUUAUGCUGUGAGGAUGUCAGAGUAAAUUAAAUUCCCCUCUGCACACUAAAGCAUCAAUUUCCUUAUGGUAAUUAUCUGCUGGAAUAGACGUGUCACUAGUAGGAGUCAGGCAUGCUUGACAUUUAGCCUUUUUAUGGAGCGGCGAUGAGUAAAAAUUAAGAUGAGGAGAGGGAAAUUAAUCUCCGGCCCAGGCAGGCAUCCACAGAUCCUGCAGGAUAGCGGCCCAAUCAACCAUGAUGUUUGUGAGCCUGUUUCCAAAAGGAACCACGUGAUGAGGUUCAGAGCAGAGGCUGGACGAUUUUUGGAGUUUCUAGCAAAUAUUGUUGUGAUUUCAAUGUGGAUGUUUAAGUUUAUUGGACUUAAGUUUUGGGGAAGUAGAGACGUCAGUGUUUACAUUUUAUUUAUUAUUUCAACUCUAAUUUAUUUCUAAUAUGAUAUGGGCCUAUGACACACUGUCAAUAUUAACUUUCAGUUCUAAAGUUUUUCUAUGUAUCAUUAAAGUGACAAUAAAUAUUGUAAACAUAUAAAUAAGUAAAUAGAAAUAUACAGUGACAGCAGAUCAAGGUGAAUUAUUUUCUACUCCAAAAAGUGAGCAGGUGGAUUUUACUGUUCUGGUUUUAAAGAACAGAAAUGGUUGUGUCUUAAAUCCGACGUCCUGUAUCGUUCUGUGUGUUUGAUGCUCACAGUAGCAGGCAGCGGCAGAGCUGUUAGCUGAUAUGAAGCCAAAAGGAAGAGUGCUUCCUCUAGAUUCACUGGAUUCAGGGUGAUGCAGAGGAAAGGACAAAUCUGUAAUUGUUAAGGGGAAAUCACAAGCGUUCUGGUCAUGAAGCUCAGUUUGCUGCUUGUUUUUUCCUGCAUUUGGCAGCUGUGUGUUACUGUGUUGAUUAAGAUCUUACUGGAAUGUCAAACCUUUUAGCCAAUAUUAGUAAUAUUAACAUGAAUGUUAACUGUCCAGUGUUGUGAUGGCAAACACCUCCAUGGUUCCAACAACCCACAGAAUUAAUGAGGUAUGAGUGUUUUCUAUGUAUUAAUGCUGGACGUAAAGGUUUACAGUAGUUUUAUGAUUCUAACAUGUGCACAGUAUUUUGUGCAAUUUUGCAUAAACUGAUGACGGGAGGGGGGAAAUUUACAGAAUUCUCUUCUAUAAAUUUGAAAAUUCCUUGUAAAAUCCAUGAGCCUCUCAUCUUUACAUAGUUAUCCAUUAAAACGUUCAUCUGUAAUAAGAAAAA